RNAcentral lists this ribosomal RNA (245 nucleotides) under uncultured Leptotrichia sp. RNAcentral describes it as "partial 16S ribosomal RNA". It matches the Rfam family "Bacterial small subunit ribosomal RNA", at positions 109 to 355 of the family's 1533-position model. Lineage: Bacteria; Fusobacteriati; Fusobacteriota; Fusobacteriia; Fusobacteriales; Leptotrichiaceae. The record is from RNAcentral.
AGUAACGCGUAAGAACUUGCCCUUUAGACUGGGAUAACAGAGGGAAACUUCUGAUAAUACUGGAUAAGUUAGUAUAUCGCAUGAUAUGCAAAUGAAAGCUACGGCACUAAAGGAGAGCUUUGCGUCCUAUUAGCUAGUUGGUAAGGUAAGAGCUUACCAAGGCGAUGAUAGGUAGCCGGCCUGAGAGGGUGGACGGCCACAAGGGGACUGAGAUACGGCCCUUACUCCUACGGGAGGCAGCAGCC